UUGAUUGUCCAUCACCAACCUUUAAUUUUUUUAGGUCAAAAUCGUAUUUCUGAACUUUUGAGAAAUAGUCCUCACUCAAAACCAGUCAAUGGCUCAUGAGUGUGGAGAUGAGAAUGAUAAAGUAUGAGGAGGUUGAAUCCAUGAGUGAUUCCCUCUGAAAACACGAGUUUUUGGAGUUUGAUUUUGAUGGUUGAAGGUUGAAGACGAAGUCUC
RNAcentral lists this long non-coding RNA (213 nucleotides) under Lathyrus oleraceus (garden pea). RNAcentral describes it as "Pisum sativum (pea) long non-coding RNA (PSAT_LNC005918)". Lineage: Eukaryota; Viridiplantae; Streptophyta; Magnoliopsida; Fabales; Fabaceae. The record is from RNAcentral.